This 792-nucleotide ribosomal RNA is filed under the name uncultured bacterium. RNAcentral's name for it is "bacterial SSU rRNA". It matches the Rfam family "Bacterial small subunit ribosomal RNA", at positions 8 to 780 of the family's 1533-position model. The record is from RNAcentral.
AGAGUUUGAUCCUGGCUCAGGAUGAACGCUAGCGGCAGGCUUAAUACAUGCAAGUCGAGGGGCAGCGCGGUGUAGCAAUACACUGGCGGCGACCGGCAAACGGGUGCGGAACACGUACGCAAUCUACCCAAAACUGAUGAAUAGCCCUCCGAAAGGAGGAUUAAUACAUCGUAACUUAAUGAAGUGGCAUCACUUUAUUAAUAUAGCUCCGGCGGUUUUGGAUGAGCGUGCGCCUGAUUAGGUAGUUGGCGGGGUAACGGCCCACCAAGCCUACGAUCAGUAACUGGUGUGAGGGCACGACCAGUCACACGGGCACUGAGACACGGGCCCGACUCCUACGGGAGGCAGCAGUAAGGAAUAUUGGUCAAUGGACGCAAGUCCGAACCAGCCAUGCCGCGUGAAGGAUGAAGGUCCUCUGGAUUGUAAACUUCUCUUAUGUGGGACGAAACCUCUUAUUCUUAAGAGACUGACGGUACCAUAGGAAUAAGCACCGGCUAACUCCGUGCCAGCAGCCGCGGUAAUACGGGAGGGUGCAAGCGUUAUCCGGAUUCACUGGGUUUAAAAGGGAGCGUAGAAGGGCAGGUAAAUUCAGUGGGUGAAAUCUUCGAGCUUAACUCGGAAACUGCCGUUGAUACUAUCUGUCUUGAAUACGCUGGGGGAUGAGCGGAAUAUGGCAUGGUGACGGGGUGAAAUGGCUUAAAAUAUGAACAUAGAAACACCAAAUUGCGAAGGCAGCUCGUACACGAAUAUUGACUCUGAGCUCGAGACGGGGGGGGGAUUCAAACAGGAAUA